ACACUCCUGCGGGAGGCAGCAGUGGGGAAUAUUGCACAAUGGGCGCAAGCCUGAUGCAGCCAUGCCGCGUGUAUGAAGAAGGCCUUCGGGUUGUAAAGUACUUUCAGCGGGGAGGAAGGCGAUAAGGUUAAUAACCUUGUCGAUUGACGUUACCCGCAGAAGAAGCACCGGCUAACUCCGUGCCAGCAGCCGCGGUAAUACGGAGGGUGCAAGCGUUAAUCGGAAUUACUGGGCGUAAAGCGCACGCAGGCGGUCUGUCAAGUCGGAGGUGAAAUCCCCGGGCUCAACCUGGGAACUGCAUUCGAAACUGGCAGGCUAGAGUCUUGUAGAGGGGGGUAGAAUUCCAGGUGUAGCGGUGAAAUGCGUAGAGAUCUGGAGGAAUACCGGUGGCGAAGGCGGCCCCCUGGACAAAGACUGACGCUCAGGUGCGAAAGCGUGGGGAGCAAACAGGAUUAGAUACCCUAGUAGUCCCAUGA
RNAcentral lists this ribosomal RNA (476 nucleotides) under uncultured organism. RNAcentral describes it as "partial 16S ribosomal RNA". It matches the Rfam family "Bacterial small subunit ribosomal RNA", at positions 333 to 800 of the family's 1533-position model. The record is from RNAcentral.